UGCGUAGGGCGUGCUUGAUCACGAUAUUUGGAAAGCUCACGCCUUUGAGGCGGGCGGUGCGGAUGUAUUGCGCGGUCAUCACUUCGGUCAUCGACGCGCGGGUCAUACGGGCAAUGUAGCCCAUGCCGUAAAGCGCGAUGGUGAUCACCGGCAAGAAGAAGUUGUUGAAGGUGGCGUCA
This 179-nucleotide non-coding RNA is filed under the name Pseudooctadecabacter jejudonensis. RNAcentral describes it as "Ruegeria cis52 sRNA". It matches the Rfam family "Ruegeria cis52 sRNA". Rfam says of the family: Cis-encoded. Targets oligo/dipeptide ABC transporter. Functions in transport. The record is from Rfam by way of RNAcentral. Lineage: Bacteria; Pseudomonadati; Pseudomonadota; Alphaproteobacteria; Rhodobacterales; Paracoccaceae.